GCAGACACAUUCCAGCCAAUCAGCAGCAGACCCUCCCUCCCAGACCCUGCCACCUCCUGGACAGCAUCCAUUUUACAUUCAUUGUGAAGCUGCAUUCUUAGUGAGCUGUCCAAGAGGUGGGAGGGUCUGGGAGGGAGGGUCUGCUGCUGAUUGGCUAGAAUGUGUCU
This 167-nucleotide microRNA precursor is filed under the name Pelobates cultripes (western spadefoot toad). Lineage: Eukaryota; Metazoa; Chordata; Amphibia; Anura; Pelobatidae. The record is from RNAcentral.